CUGGCGACGAGUGGCGAACGGGUGAGUAAUGCAUCGGAACGUGCCCAGUAGUGGGGGAUAGCUCGGCGAAAGCUGUGCUAAUACCGCAUACGAUCUACGGAUGAAAGCGGGGGACCUUCGGGCCUCGCGCGAUUGGAGCGGCCGAUGUUAGAUUAGGUAGUUGGUGAGGUAAAGGCUCACCAAGCCUACGAUCUAUAGCUGGUCUGAGAGGACGACCAGCCACACUGGAACUGAGACACGGUCCAGACUCC
This 251-nucleotide ribosomal RNA is filed under the name uncultured bacterium. RNAcentral describes it as "partial 16S ribosomal RNA". It matches the Rfam family "Bacterial small subunit ribosomal RNA", at positions 85 to 339 of the family's 1533-position model. The record is from RNAcentral.